Long non-coding RNA from Eriocheir sinensis (Chinese mitten crab), 1336 nucleotides. RefSeq lists it as uncharacterized. The record is from RefSeq and is a predicted model, not a curated record. The transcript is spliced from 4 exons. NCBI's taxonomy places the organism in Eukaryota, Metazoa, Arthropoda, Malacostraca, Decapoda, Varunidae.
AUUAAGAAAUUGGUUUUACUGUGUUGACGCAAGCGAGGUGGACGAGACGUAGAAGCGCUGGGAUACUUAAGGCGAUGUGCUGCUGCCUGGGCCAUGUUACUCCGGGUGACUUCGGCCGGAGCAGACUAACCUAGCGCCUCAUCAGCUAAGGAAACAAGGGAAGAUGCGUGCUGCCACCUUCCCCCUCGCCCUCGUCUUGACUUCCUGCGUCGCCCUCCUGCACGCGUCCCCACACUCCUAUUCUUCUUCCUCCUGCUACCCUCCCGUAUGCAGGAUCAUCGAGGGGCAGGAGUUUCGGUGCAAGGACAUCAACAACUGGCAUGAGUACUACCGCCACCCCACUAACAAGCACCUCUACGUCCAGUGCACCGGCAGUGGGCCAAUGGUGAGGAGGUGCGCGCCCGGUACAGCCUGGGGCUCGGACACCUUCGUGAACUGGAAUGGGGAACGCCUGCCCGACUGUAAGCGCAGCCGUGACUAAGGACCCGAGAAAAGAAAAAAUGAGAGCGCCUCCUGGUAAUCAUAAGACCUCCCUCUCCACCUCCUCCUGUUCCUCCUCCUUCUCCUCUUCCUCCUCCUCCCUUUAAGUUAACAGGUCGCCGCCUCUAAGCCCCCCCUGUCGCUGUUGCUGUCGCCGAGAAGAAAACGAGAGACCGGGAGCAACACGACAGCCAGGACCAAUUCGCCGCCCUGCCCCGACGACCCAUCUUAAUUUCCCGACGCGGCGCCGUGUUGCGAAAGAAUUAAGAGAAAGUAAUGAACAUGGAGGACACGGAUGUUAUGGGCGCACGUGUGAUGGGGAGGAGGUGGGGGGAAGGAUGUAGUGAGUGUGUGUGUGUUUGAAGGGGGGUAGGGGUGUGUGUAUACAAGCAUGACUAUAAUAAUAACAACAGUGGAAUAAAAGGGAAGCGACAGAAAGAAGAAUUUUAACAAGAAAUAUGAGAACGUUAAGAACUACUAUUAACAAAAGCAUGUGAGUCUCUAGCAACAACAACAAAGACAGAAAGAAGGACAGUAAACAACUUAUAAAUACGAACGGGAAAAGAAAAGAAAAACCCAGCCCAAAAACAAAGGAGCAUCGAGCAUAAAACAAAAGAAAACAAGGGGAAAUAUUGUCGGGAAAAUACUAGAGAGAAACUAAGAAAUGCAAGAAAUGAUUAGAUUUUAUAACCAAUAGCGAGAAGCAGUUUAAAAUAUAACAAUGAAACUAAUCUAAUAAAGGAAAACAAUAAGGAAAGGAAGGAAGGGAAGGAGAGGAAGGAUUAAGGAGGGAAGGAAGGAAGGAAGAAAAUUAUAAAGUAUAACAAUGGAGGUCGAAUAAAAUUGAGCAAGACUA